This 494-nucleotide ribosomal RNA is filed under the name uncultured bacterium. RNAcentral describes it as "partial 16S ribosomal RNA". It matches the Rfam family "Bacterial small subunit ribosomal RNA", at positions 28 to 507 of the family's 1533-position model. The record is from RNAcentral.
GACGAACGCUGGCGGCGUGCUUAACACAUGCAAGUCGAACGGUGAAGCGCCUUCCUUUUUGGUGGGUGUGGAUGAGUGGCGAACGGGUGAGUAACACGUGAGUAACCUGCCCCCUUCUUCUGGAUAACCGCAUGAAAGUGUGGCUAAUACGGGAUAUUCUGGGUCUGUCGCAUGAUGGGUCUGGGAAAGAUAUUGUUUCGGUGGGGGAUGGGCUCGCGGCCUAUCAGCUUGUUGGUGGGGUGAUGGCCUACCAAGGCGGUGACGGGUAGCCGGCCUGAGAGGGUGGACGGUCACACUGGGACUGAGACACGGCCCAGACUCCUACGGGAGGCAGCAGUGGGGAAUAUUGCACAAUGGGCGCAAGCCUGAUGCAGCGUCGCCGCGUGAGGGAUGGAGGCCUUCGGGUUGUGAACCUCUUUCGCCAGUGAAGCAGGCCUGCCUCGUUUGUGGGUGGGUUGACGGUAGCUGGAUAAGAAGCGCCGGCUAACUACGUG